CCACUCUGCAGCACUCUCUGACAGCGGAGAAUACUGGUGUUAUUCCUCCAGAGAGGAUCCGCCAUACAGCAAUGGUGUCUCAUUGACUGUUCAAGAUUUUGAUGUGGGCAACACCCUUCGACUUGGAUUAUCAGGUCUGGUGCUAAUUUUGAUUCUGGUCAUUGCAAGAAUGCUUUUCUAGAAAUCACUACAAGAUUCAUCAGAACUGAGGCCACCCUGUAAAGCACAGCCAUCGCCUUUGUCGU
This is a long non-coding RNA of Polypterus senegalus (gray bichir), 245 nucleotides long. RefSeq lists it as uncharacterized. NCBI's taxonomy places the organism in Eukaryota, Metazoa, Chordata, Cladistia, Polypteriformes, Polypteridae. The transcript is spliced from 3 exons. The record is from RefSeq and is a predicted model, not a curated record.